UAAAAUUAGUUAAAUCUAAUAACAUAAGCUUGUCAAGCUUAAAUUACUCUAUGAGUAUUUUAAU
Molecule: transfer RNA, 64 nt
Filed under: Lysmata debelius (fire shrimp)
Lineage: Eukaryota; Metazoa; Arthropoda; Malacostraca; Decapoda; Hippolytidae
Description: tRNA-Asp
Source: RNAcentral